This 181-nucleotide non-coding RNA is filed under the name unclassified sequences. The record is from Rfam.
CCCCGCCGCCGGACGGCACUCCACUUCAUGGCGUGCGGCGGUCAAAAAAAGGAGGAAAAAAACCCGCUGUGACUGGCGGUGCGGCAGUGUGGAGACCUGCCGUAAGGCGGCGCGUCCAUUGCGGCGGCCGCGAGGCUACUCCUUGCGGAGGCAGAGCAGCCGCAGUCAAAGAAAGAUGGCA